UACGAAGGGGGCUAGCGUUGCUCGGAAUCACUGGGCGUAAAGCGCACGUAGGCGGCUUUUUAAGUCAGGGGUGAAAUGCCAAGGCUCAACCUUGGAACUGCCUUUGAUACUGGAGACCUUGAGUCCGGGAGAGGUGAGUGGAAUUGCGAGUGUAGAGGUGAAAUUCGUAGAUAUUCGCAAGAACACCAGUGGCGAAGGCGGCUCACUGGCCCGAUACUGACGCUGAGGCACGAAAGCGUGGGGAGCAAACAGG
Molecule: ribosomal RNA, 253 nt
Filed under: uncultured bacterium
Lineage: Bacteria
Description: partial 16S ribosomal RNA
Rfam family: Bacterial small subunit ribosomal RNA
Source: RNAcentral